Molecule: ribosomal RNA, 441 nt
Filed under: uncultured bacterium
Lineage: Bacteria
Description: partial 16S ribosomal RNA
Rfam family: Bacterial small subunit ribosomal RNA
Source: RNAcentral
CCUACGGGAGGCAGCAGUGGGGGAUAUUGCACAAUGGGGGGAACCCUGAUGCAGCGACGCCGCGUGGGUGAAGGAGCGUUUCGGCGCGUAAAGCCCUAUCGGCAGGGAAGAAGGAGGACGGUACCUGACUAAGAAGCCCCGGCUAACUACGUGCCAGCAGCCGCGGUAAUAAGGAGGGGGCAAGCGUUAUCCGGAUUUACUGGGGGUAAAGGGGGGGCAGACGGCAGCGCAAGCCAGGAGUGAAAGCCUGGGGCCCAACCCCCGGACUGCCGGUGAAACUGGGCGUCUGGAGUGCGGGAGGGGCAGGCGGAAUUCCUGGUGUAGCGGUGAAAUGCGUAGAUAUCAGGAGGAACACCGGUGGCGAAGGCGGCCUGCUGGACUGCGACUGACGUUGAGGCCCGAAAGCGUGGGGAGCAAACAGGAUUAGAUACCCCAGUAGUC